GACGGCUAAUAUAAUACUCUAUCCAAACUCUCUGCCGAUUUUCUAUAUUUAAUAAUUUAUUUUGUUAAAGGGGGUUUUCUUUUCGUUAUAUAUAUAAUCGAGUAGUAGUUUGGAGUGGUGUAAUUUGUCCAUCUACCAUAAGAACAUGGCUACACAUAUCUACAACUUGUUUUUCUUUAUUGCAAUUCUUUUCAUGGCUUCCAUUUUAAUUCAAGGUGAAGCCCAACCGAUGAUGCAUUGCAAGGGCAAAGAGCCAUGUCCAGAUCUUCUUGCCUGCGCGAAGCGUUGUUAUGCAUUAACAUUCGCUCAUGGUGGAAGUUGUGUUCAAGACCAAUGUUGUUGCAUACCUUAGAAUUACAAUUAUACUCUCUCAAGUGUUAACAUCCAAAUUAGUGGAAUAUGUAUUGAUUUCACUUUUAAAUAAAAUUGUUAUAGUUUUUUUA
Long non-coding RNA from Lathyrus oleraceus (garden pea), 443 nucleotides. RefSeq lists it as uncharacterized. Lineage: Eukaryota; Viridiplantae; Streptophyta; Magnoliopsida; Fabales; Fabaceae. The record is from RefSeq and is a predicted model, not a curated record. The transcript is spliced from 2 exons.